UACUGGAUAUUAGGCUAUGCCUGGAAUGGUUUGCCUUUGAAAUGUUUUUUUCGCCUAAGGAUAGAUCUGCGGCUGAUUAGGUCGUUGGUGGGGUAAUGGCCCACCAAGCCGAUGAUCGGUACGGGUUGUGAGAGCAAGAGCCCGGAGAUGGAACCUGAGACAAGGUUCCAGACCCUACGGGGUGCAGCAGGCGCGAAACCUCCGCAAUGUACGAAAGUGCGACGGGGGGAUCCCAAGUGUUAUGCUUUUUUGUAUAACUUUUCAUUAGUGUAAAAAGCUUUUAGAAUAAGAGCUGGGCAAGACCGGUGCCAGCCGCCGCGGUAACACCGGCAGCUCGAGUGGUAGCUGUUUUUAUUGGGCCUAAAGCGUUCGUAGCCGGUUUGAUAAGUCUUUGGUGAAAGCUUGUAGCUUAACUAUAAGAAUUGCUGGAGAUACUAUUAGACUUGAAGUCGGGAGAGGUUAGAGGUACUACCGGGGUAGGGGUGAAAUCCUAUAAUCCUGGGAGGACCACCUGUGGCGAAGGCGUCUAACUGGAACGAUCUUGACGGUGAGUAACGAAAGCCAGGGGCGCGAACCGGAUUAGAUACCCGGGUAGUCCUGGCCGUAAACGAUGUGGACUUGGUGUUGGAAUGGCUUUGAGUUGUUCCGGUGCCGAAGGGAAGCUGUUAAGUCCACCGCCUGGGAAGUACGGUCGCAGGACUGAAACUUAA
RNAcentral lists this ribosomal RNA (710 nucleotides) under uncultured archaeon. RNAcentral's name for it is "bacterial SSU rRNA". It matches the Rfam family "Archaeal small subunit ribosomal RNA", at positions 150 to 859 of the family's 1478-position model. The record is from RNAcentral.